Molecule: ribosomal RNA, 622 nt
Filed under: uncultured bacterium
Lineage: Bacteria
Description: bacterial SSU rRNA
Rfam family: Bacterial small subunit ribosomal RNA
Source: RNAcentral
GAAAGGAAAUAUUCGGUAAAAGAUGGGCCCGCAUCUGAUUAGCUAGUUGGUGAGAUAACAGCCCACCAAGGCGACGAUCAGUAGCCGACCUGAGAGGGUGACCGGCCACAUUGGGACUGAGACACGGCCCAAACUCCUACGGGAGGCAGCAGUGGGGAAUAUUGCACAAUGGGGGGAACCCUGAUGCAGCAACGCCGCGUGAAGGAAGACGGUUUUCGGAUUGUAAACCUCUAUCAAUAGGGAAGAAAGAAAUGACGGUACCUAAAUAAGAAGCCCCGGCUAACUACGUGCCAGCAGCCGCGGUAAUACGUAGGGGGCAAGCGUUAUCCGGAAUUACUGGGUGUAAAGGGAGAGUAGGCGGCAAGGUAAGCGAUAUGUGAAAGCCUUAGGCUUAACCUGAGGAUUGCAUAACGAACUAUCUAGCUAGAGUACAGGAGAGGAAAGCGGAAUUCCUAGUGUAGCGGUGAAAUGCGUAGAUAUUAGGAAGAACACCAGUGGCGAAGGCGGCUUUCUGGACUGAAACUGACGCUGAGGCUCGAAAGCGUGGGGAGCGAACAGGAUUAGAUACCCUGGUAGUCCACGCUGUAAACGAUGAGUGCUAGGUGUCGGGGAGGAAUCCUCG